This 384-nucleotide ribosomal RNA is filed under the name uncultured soil bacterium. Its description in RNAcentral is "bacterial SSU rRNA". It matches the Rfam family "Bacterial small subunit ribosomal RNA", at positions 26 to 405 of the family's 1533-position model. The record is from RNAcentral.
AGGACGAACGCUGGCGGCGUGCUUAACACAUGCAAGUCGAGCGGUAAGGCCUUUCGGGGUACACGAGCGGCGAACGGGUGAGUAACACGUGGGUGAUCUGCCCUGCACUCUGGGAUAAGCCUGGGAAACUGGGUCUAAUACCGGAUAUGACCUGCUCUCGCAGUGGGGGUGGGUGGAAAGAUUUAUCGGUGCAGGAUCGGGCCCGCGGCCUAUCAGCUUGUUGGUGGGUAAUGGCCUACCAAGGCGACGACGGGUAGCCGACCUGAGAGGGUGACCGGCCACACUGGGACUGAGACACGGCCCAGACUCCGUACGGGAGGCAGCAGGUAGGGAAUUUGGACAAGUGGGACGAAAGCCUGACUACCAGCCAUCGGACCGCGUGAC